This 1688-nucleotide long non-coding RNA is filed under the name Linum usitatissimum (flax). RNAcentral's name for it is "long non-coding RNA (LUSI_LNC005261)". Lineage: Eukaryota; Viridiplantae; Streptophyta; Magnoliopsida; Malpighiales; Linaceae. The record is from RNAcentral.
UUUUUGGGCACGAUUUCAGAUCCAAUUUCAUGCUCGAUCUUAGGCCCGAUUUCUGUUAUUCUCUGAGAGGCUGCCACCUCAGUGAUUGGUGUUCAAUUUAGAUUGGAAGAUAAAGUAGGUGGCAGCCCUUUUGUUCAUUUAAAAGGACCAUCAAACUUCUUUCGAGAGUGGGGGAGAGAACGAAGGACAUACCGAUUGCAACGAAAACUCCCUAAAAAUUCCCUAAUCCCACUUCACCCUAAGUCCAUUACACUCUAUAUUCAUUACACCCCACUCCCACCACAAAAUAAAGCAUAAAAGUACAAACAUAAGCACUUUGAGUAUUCCUUCGAGAAUCCAUCGUUAAAGCUUCUGAAGUCUCAAACGCUUGGAGAAAUCGGCCGGAGGUUGCGUCCACAAUGCAAAAGAGAAACAAAAAUCAGUUUUCAACGGUCGGUACCCCCAAACAAACCCUUUUCGUAAUUCUCAGUAAUUCACCUAUCUUUCAUAUCUUAAACCCUAAACAUAUUGAUAUACCUGUCAGGGUUGCAUGCUAUAUUAUAUAUCAACAUAUAAGCUACUUACUCAAAUUACUUUCGUAAGCUACCUAACACUAACACUAGCUGGAAAAAAUGAAACUUCUUUAUUUAAUAAAGGAGUGCUGGAAAACGUUGACAAGAGGCUACCACGACCAUUUAAUACCAUUUUCAUACCAUUUGCAUCGAUUACUCAAGAACUACAAGAUUACUCCUAAAAAUCGACCUAAACAAGUGCUUUUUUGUUAAACAUGAUUGCUGGAAUUUUCCUAAAUUUGAUCAAUUGAUCAAAAUUUUCAAACAGAAAACCAUUUGCAUAAACACUUAGAUUGUCGGUAUAGCUUCAACAACGAAACAGUCAAAUUUUCAAGCAACCUAUAGACAAUAACAAAAUCACUACCAUCAUCAACCAAUAAAAAUAAGAAAAACAAAGAGCUGAGGUUGUUCUUCCGUUUUUUCGUCCGACUCUGCUCCGGCCGGGAAAUCCAUUGUCGGCGGGGACUUUUUUUUUGUCUCCUGCUUAUGCUUCUCCGGUCCAGCUCCACCGAUCCCUAACUCUACUGAAAACAGAAAUCAAAAUAAAGACAACAAAAAUAACAAAAAAACUACAAAAAUAAAAAAACUCAAAUUUUAGAUCUACGAAUCAGGGCUUGCAAACGACAUGCAAGCCUGGAUCGAAGUAAAAACAGAAAGUACGUAAGUAGAACGAGGGAUUUCAUGUUUUGUUUACCUUUUCUUCCUUCUAUUUUCCUUCCUUUGUCGUUGUGGGAGAAGAGAGGUGGCGGAGGCGGCUGCGACCGCUGCUGUCGGCGAGGAAGUAAAAGAGAAGGACAUGAUGGAGGCGGCGGGGGCCGCCGCCGCUGAGAGAGAAUGAGAAGAGAAAGAAGGAACAGGAGGCGAAAGAGAGGCAGGAAGAAGAAGAGAAGAAAAAGGAAAGAAGAGAAGAGAAGGGAGGGGCGGCGGCACUGCCGUUGUCACCGGAGGAAAAAAGAAUAGAAGGAAAGGAGGGCGGUGCCGCCAGAGGCGGAGAAGAAGAAGAAAAAGAGAGAAAAGAAGGAAAGAGGAAAAAAGGAGGAGGCGCGGUGGAGGUGGGGGCGGCGGAGCCGCCGACGGUGGAAGAGUGUAGAGUGAAGGGAGAGGAUUGAGAGGAAGAGAGAGGGAGCUAGGCUUUCA